CCCAGACAGCCAGGAUGUUGGCUUAGAAGCAGCCAUCAUUUAAAGAAAGCGUAAUAGCUCACUGGUCGAGUCGGCCUGCGCGGAAGAUGUAACGGGGCUAAACCAUGCACCGAAGCUGCGGCAGCGACACUCAGGUGUUGUUGGGUAGGGGAGCGUUCUGUAAGCCUGUGAAGGUGUGUCGUGAGGCAUGCUGGAGGUAUCAGAAGUGCGAAUGCUGACAUAAGUAACGAUAAAGCGGGUGAAAAGCCCGCUCGCCGGAAGACCAA
This 266-nucleotide ribosomal RNA is filed under the name Salmonella enterica subsp. enterica serovar Thompson. Its description in RNAcentral is "partial 23S ribosomal RNA". It matches the Rfam family "Bacterial large subunit ribosomal RNA", at positions 1084 to 1348 of the family's 2925-position model. Lineage: Bacteria; Pseudomonadati; Pseudomonadota; Gammaproteobacteria; Enterobacterales; Enterobacteriaceae. The record is from RNAcentral. RNAcentral also lists the same sequence under 2 other names.